GAUGAACGCUGGCGGCGUGCCUAAUACAUGCAAGUCGAGCGAACAGACGAGGAGCUUGCUCCUCUGACGUUAGCGGCGGACGGGUGAGUAACACGUGGAUAACCUACCUAUAAGACUGGGAUAACUUCGGGAAACCGGAGCUAAUACCGGAUAAUAUAUUGAACCGCAUGGUUCAAUAGUGAAAGACGGUUUUGCUGUCACUUAUAGAUGGAUCCGCGCCGCAUUAGCUAGUUGGUAAGGUAACGGCUUACCAAGGCGACGAUGCGUAGCCGACCUGAGAGGAGGACAGCCCACACUGGAACUGAGACCGGGCCAAGACUCCGAGGGGAGGCAGAAGAGGGGAAUCUUCGACAAAGGGCGAAAGCCGGAGGAAGCACGACCGGGGGGGUGAAGAAGUCUUUAGGGUUGAAAACCCCUUUUGUUGGGAAAGAAAAAAAGUAGAUUAACAAAGCCCCGUUUUGAGGGUACCAAAAGAAAAAGCCCCGGCUAACUCCGUC
This 497-nucleotide ribosomal RNA is filed under the name uncultured bacterium. Its description in RNAcentral is "partial 16S ribosomal RNA". It matches the Rfam family "Bacterial small subunit ribosomal RNA", at positions 28 to 507 of the family's 1533-position model. The record is from RNAcentral.